GCCAUCCACCUUCUCCACAGAAUGUUUUCAAGCAGGGAGUUUAUUUAUAUGUUGAACUUAAAACCAAAAAAGGGAACUUCUGUUUGCAAAUGCAACUACUCAGGAUGUGACUGUAGUUCCCCAGUACAGUCACGUGACCCACUUUAUUUUUUUUUUUAAAAAGGCGCUGCAGAAGAGCUAAAUUCAGAAAAUUUGGCUGAAACCACGCUGUUGUCAAAACUUCACGAUGAACUUAUUAACAAGCUGGAUGUCAGUCCUAAUGGCAUUUCUUCUUCUCUUACAUUUUUGGAGAGCAAAGGUCUAUGCUUCUGGAAACUCAGAGGAGGAAAUAGAUUUGACGUAUGUUAUUAUAGGAGUUACUCUGGGAGUGAUUCUAACAAUCGGUUUUAUAGCAGUAAUAAUCUGCUUGAUCAAAAAACAAGUGAUUGACAUUGGAGGUCAAACAUGGGAUCAAGCCAAAACAGGUACGUUCCAGGGGAAGGGGGGUCUGGUGGAGCAGGGAGAGGGAGUGAUGGGACGAGGCAGACGCAUGGAAUUUCACAAAUGUUAUUCCAGCAGCUCCAUUAAUAAUUUUCUAGAAUUCCUCUGUUUUUUUUUAAUCUGGGAAUCUCCCAGCUCAGCUUUUAUGACAAUGCUCUGGAUCAUGCCAGGUAAAACCAAAGCCUGCUGGUUAGUUCUUGCUAACCCGUGAUGUUUCUUUUUCAGAGAUGAUGUCAACGUACUUGGAAAGCAAAGUACAAAUGAUCAAUAACCCUUUUGCGAUCAACAGUUACCUGCUCUGAGGAUCAAUAGAAGUCUCUUGUGCACAGGCAGGAGUCUCACCAACACCGAUCCCUUUCUUUGUUCUUUAAUUGAAAGACUGAUUGAUUGAUUACAGGAGGAGCUCAUAGCGCAUGCUAACUUCAAUCACCUGCACACAAAAAUCCUCAACAGCACAUACCUGAAGGAAAUGUAUGAGGAAAACAAAAGAGAUGAGCUCUCCUCAUGAAUAGAUCCUGUUUAGCCCCUGACAAGUAUAUGUGUGAUUUCUAAAAUCAGUUAAAUACAGGGUAAUCAAAAAGUCAGUAAUACAUUUCAUCAGAGAAUUCAUGUCAUGCCCGUAUUUUGAGAUAGGUAAAUAGUGACUGAAGUAACUUGAAAAAAAUCAUUCAUUUGAGGUUGAAGCAAAAUAAGGCUUCCCCCCCUUUUUUUUUUUUUUCAGGAAAUGUAUGUCAUGUGUUAGUAGGAAAACAUUUCAUUCACACUAAAGUUAUAUCUCUUUUAGCUUUAGGACUGAUGUCUUUUGUUUAACUGUAGGUGGUAGUGCUAAUUUCAGCCAUUUAAAAUGAAUUGUGGUCAUUUAAAAAUGUAAAAGUCCUUUUUGAAAUAAUGUUUUCCAUGUUUUGCUUUUAGAACAUGGAAAUGAAACCAGUUUUGCAUACUCAAAAAGUUUCUGGAGAUCUGAAACAAAACAUUUCAUGUCAACAUUCCACAACCAAACUAACCUAUUUCCAAAAUUCACCCAGCUCUGUUUUACCUUAGUAUAAAACAGUGCACUGAGUUCAAUCAGAAUUUAUGAAUAAUUUCAGUCUCCCAACCCCUUCAUUCUUGUUCUAGCCUUAUACAUUCUGUUGAAUUUGAUGUCAUCAGAACUGCUUUGCCUGGCUCCAAUUACAAGCUUCUUACAGCAGGAGUGACAAGAAAAAUUAGAGCUUUGUCUCAAAAUAUUUAGAAUAAUUUAAAUAAUUUUAAAUGGUUUAAACCCAAGUUAUUUUGUAAACACAUCCCAGCUUUUACCAAACCUGUGAGCCUGUGGCUUCUGUCCCAGUUCAGAAAAUAAUGCUGUAGAUUUAAUCCCCUUCUUUUGAGAAUGCCAUGUUAUACAGAUGUUGUCAUCACAAGGUGCAUGAAAACCAGGAAGAUUUUGGUGUUUCAAGCCAGGCUUUCCUUUCAGCUUGGGGAAACAGGGCAGCAAAUGGCAUGCACGAUGAUAAUUAAUGACAGAAUUAACAGGCAUAGCUGUUAUGCUACACUAUUCCAUUGCAACUUACAAAGAACCACUAUCCAGAUGCAAAGACCACAGGCUGGAAAUAGAUUGGAUCUUCCUAAACGUUUAGCUCAGGCCGAUGUCUAUAGACAUAUGGAUGUUUUUAAUUUCUCAUCUGACUUGCAUUCCUAAAGUUAACUUUCAAACCAGUGUCUGCUCUCAGUUAUGCCAUGGGACAGAUCAUAAUAAAGUUCUUUCCAGUUCUUCA
This 2234-nucleotide long non-coding RNA is filed under the name Calidris pugnax (ruff). RNAcentral describes it as "lncRNA (ENSCPUG00000009081.1)". The record is from RNAcentral. Lineage: Eukaryota; Metazoa; Chordata; Aves; Charadriiformes; Scolopacidae.